This 492-nucleotide ribosomal RNA is filed under the name uncultured bacterium. Its description in RNAcentral is "partial 16S ribosomal RNA". It matches the Rfam family "Bacterial small subunit ribosomal RNA", at positions 29 to 507 of the family's 1533-position model. The record is from RNAcentral.
AGUGAACGCUGGCGGUAGGCCUAACACAUGCAAGUCGAACGGCAGCACAGUAAGAGCUUGCUCUUACGGGUGGCGAGUGGCGGACGGGUGAGGAAUACAUCGGAAUCUACUUUUUCGUGGGGGAUAACGUAGGGAAAGUUAAGCUAAUACCGCAUACGACCUACGGGGGAAAGCAGGGGAUCUUCGGACCUUGCGCGAUUGAAUGAGCCGAUGUCGGAUUAGCUAGUUGGCGGGGUAAAGGCCCACCAAGGCGACGAUCCGUAGCUGGUCUGAGAGGAUGAUCAGCCACACUGGAACUGAGACACGGUCCAGACUCCUACGGGAGGCAGCAGUGGGGAAUAUUGGACAAUGGGCGCAAGCCUGAUCCAGCCAUACCGCGUGGGUGAAGAAGGCCUUCGGGUUGUAAAGCCCUUUUGUUGGGAAAGAAAAGCAGCAGGUUAAUACCCCGCUGUUCUGACGGUACCCAAAGAAUAAGCACCGGCUAACUUCGUG